UUGUGUUUGAUGUGCUUCCAGAACGACUAGGAAGGUCAAUCAGCAGUCGAUGGUUCUGGAGAAGAGGAUGGAGCCUUCUGGCGAAAGAAUCAUAUCCAAGGAGAAUUGUUGGAAAACGGGAAAAGAAGAUUCAGAAGCUAUUCAACUUUACUUUUCUGGAUAUGUCAAAAACUUACAUGCUUGGUACACAAGACAUAACCAAAGCAAAAUACAUGUCUGGGAUGGAUUGUCUGUCAUGGCCACUCGGUGACGAGAAGGUGAAAAGGAAGGGUAGGAAACCCAAGCUCAAGAAACUCAUUGAACAACAACGAGCCUCAGGACAGUGGUAGUGAGCUUCCAGUGGCGCUGCCACGCCACGUUCCCUUAUGCUCAGGCCUUCUUACAGCACGGACCGGCAGCCAAGAGGACGACCCUAGUUUAAUGCUGCCUGGCUUCAUGGACGUGCUUCUGCCAUUAGAAGGUCCUUGUCUCGUAGGUAAUUCAGGUUUGGUAUGUCACAGGAAAGGAUGAAGAGAAAAAAGCUGAGCACAUUGUUCCAAGUUCUACACCACAGCGUUGUUUUUUCAUCUCUAGCCUGAGAGGAUGUGUGCUUGAUUUGGCCCCCGGCUUGGACUACCUCCUCGGCUUGUCAUCGGUGGUGUUCGGCCCCGACUACAUGCUCUCCGGUGAACUACUGGUUCACCUUCAGUUUUCCGGCUCCCAUGUGCUCUUGGAUUGGCGGUGAUGUUCAGCCUCGGCUACAUGAUCUCCGCUCGUCAUUGAGGACAUAUGUUGUGACCUCUAGUGUUGUGAUCUGAUUGGAAGAUCACUGCUGGCCUAUGGCUGGGAGUCCGACGAUCCUCCCUUCCAGGGCGCAAACUUGUCACGGUGGCCCCACGUCGACAUGUUGUCCAGGCGCCCACCUCAGUGGACGCAGUGAAGGCAGGGCGAGUGGUGGAGCUGAAGAACGCAAAGGUGGACAUGUAAAUGCGCCAGGUGGGUGGGCAUAGCCGUGUCAGAGCUGAAGGUGAUGGAGGCUACAUCCUGUCGCUGAUGGAGUUAGAGCCGGGGACCAUGUCAAGGUGAGAAGAGGAUCUGCGUAGGAAGAAGGCGACGCUCUUUCAUAUUGCCAAUGUGUGUUGGAUGUUGUUGCUGACACUGGAUGAAUUAUCACUAUUGUUGUGUAGACCCAGGUGGUGUUGCCUGUGAUCAAAACUAUUGCAUCGACUAUUGCUGUGGUGAGGUGAUUUUUUUACUGGAUACUUGGGUUAGCGACACUUUGUUCCCUUUUUGUACUGAUUGCUGAUGCAAAGUGAUGGGAGGAAUCAUUCUUGUCAA
Lolium perenne is the source of this 1317-nucleotide long non-coding RNA. RefSeq lists it as uncharacterized. Lineage: Eukaryota; Viridiplantae; Streptophyta; Magnoliopsida; Poales; Poaceae. The record is from RefSeq and is a predicted model, not a curated record.